UGUUAUGUCCUCAUCGUAUAAACUUUGCGAUAGCACCUGUGUUUAAAGCAUGAGCAUUUACGAGGGUUACUCCUAUCUUUAUAUUGUAGAUUCCUUUCCGUUUCAAAGAAAGAGGCCAAGAUAACUUUUGUCCCCUGGAGGAACGACGUAGCCAUCCCCUGACCUUUCCUGGUGCACCAGUUUGGAGAAUCAAGGUGCUGCCUGCAUCCCAGCAUGUACAAAGGUGCAUUUCUAUACUGACCUGGAAGAGGAAUUGCUGGAUCUGGGUAUGUGUUUCUUCACCUCUACUGUGCUCCAAAAUGGCCAUAUAUCCUUGUCAACACUUAGUAUCGUCAUACCUUUUUGUUUUUGCUAAAACAAGGGUGUGUACUCAUAUGGCUUUGUGCUUUCAUUUUGCUUUUUUCCAUUUACUAGCGAGGCUGAUCAUUCUUUCAUGUUUAUGGCUGCAGGGAUUUCCUCAUUUGUGAAAUGGAUUUUUCUCUGUGUUGUCUGCCUUUUCUGAAUUGUUCGCAGAAUUCCUUAACAUUCUGGAUCCUAGUCGUCUGUUAAUUAUAUAUGUAAGUCUCAUCUCUUCUCCCAUUCUGGGGCUUGUCUUUUAAAUUCCUUUAUGGUGUUUCUUGAUGAACAGAAAAAUUUAAUUUUGAUGUUGUCAAAUUUAUUAACCUAUCCCUUUAUGGUUGGUAGUUUUUGUGCCUUGUUUAAGAAACCUCUUUCUACCCCAAGGUCAUGAAGAUAUUUUCUAUAUUCAAUUUUAAAAACAUUGGCAUUUAAUCUCUCACAGUUAGGUCUAAAGUUCAUCUGAAUUUAAUUUUUAUGUGCAGUAUGAGGCAAAGAGCCAAAUUUUUUUUUUCUACACGGACAGUGUCCUAGUUUCAUUUAUUGAAGAGACUGUCUUUUCUACCCUGUGAUCUAUCACAUAUCCUUAUAAGUGCCGGUGUGUUUGAGUGUUCUGAUCUGUCCCUUUUAUCUAUUCUGUGCCAGUAUCAUCCCAGUUUAAUUACUGUGUCUUUAUAAAUGGAUCUUAAUGUCAGAGAAGGCAUUCAUGUUCUUCAAGGGUCUUGACUAUACUUGGCUCUUUCGGAUUUUCACUUACAAUUUUAGGAUCAACUUAGAGCCAAGUUCCAUACUCCUCCUCCAGCCCCGCACACAUACACAUAAAAUUUUGUAAACUUGAUUGGGAUUGCC
Molecule: long non-coding RNA, 1185 nt
Organism: Castor canadensis (American beaver)
Lineage: Eukaryota; Metazoa; Chordata; Mammalia; Rodentia; Castoridae
Source: Ensembl